UUUAAAACACUAUAAAAACACAGUAAAACAAAAUACAAAACAGUCAACAACAGAAAACAAGAAACAGCACAAGUCAAGGGGUGGGAAACGCCAGAACAUAAAGGUGGGUCUUAAGCCUGGAUUUAAAAACAGACGAUGAAGGUGCCUGCCUAAUAGAUAGGGGAAGCUGAUUCCACAGCUUAGGACCAGCAACUGAAAAGGCCCUAUCACCUGUACGUACACAGCGUGAUCGGGGAAUAUAUAAAAGAAGCUUGUCCGCAGACCUCAGUGACCUAAUGGGUGCGUGCAAUUUUAAAAGGUCCGAGAUGUAUGAAGGGGCCUGUCCAUUAAGAGCUUUAAAAACAAACAAUAACAUUUUAAAACGUAUUCUAAACUGGACAGGAAGCCAGUGCAAAGAGGCCAAGACUGGGGUAAUGUGGUCAAACUUUCUAGUGGACGAUAAAAUUCUGGCAGCAGCAUUCUGCACCAUCUGAAGACGGGCAAUUGAGGCGUGGGGGAGACCAUCAUAGAGGGAAUUACAAUAAUCUAAACGUGAGGUGAUGAAAGCAUGAAUAACAGUUUCAAGGUCUUUAAAAGACAAUGCAGAUUUAACCUUGGAAAUCAGUCGUAACUGAUAGAAACUGUUUUUUACCACAGAGUUAAUCUGCUUGACUAACCCAAGGUCUGAGUCAAUAAUGAACCCGAGGUUCCUUACAUGAGAGCUGACACUAGGAAAAAAAUUACUAACCAUGCUACGAAGACUAGCUCUCGAGCCAGCAGGACCAAAAAUUAUAACUUCGGUCUUUUCCUCAUUUAGUUGGAGAAAAUUAUUUGAGAAAAUUAUGAAAGAAGAAAGUUAUGGCUAAUGGUGGAAAGCAUAAAUUACUGUAAAAGGUUCACAAAUUCUUAAAUGUCUAGCUACAGUUGACAGGGGAACAAGGUUUGUGAUAUAAAUUAAUGUAUUUUGAGCCAUUUGAAAUGUGUAUGUAUAGAACGUAUGCUAAUACGGUUUUGUUAAUGUAAGAUAUAGCUAGAAAUACAGAGAAAAUGUACUAAAUGGUAAUUACGGUUUAUUUGUUCUUGUCUAGCUCUUACGUUGGUUGAAUGACACGGACGGAAGGAAUAAAAGUUUGUUUAACCAUCAGUUCUGGCCUUCUCAGUUCGAUUGGAAGCUACAGUAAGAGCUUAACCGCCGCCGUUUUGCUGCACCACGAGGGCUCAAGGUUUCACGGCAACGUUCAGCAAAUGGCAGAAGCUAGUCAGAGAAUACAACAGUCGAAUGUGUAAGUAAAAUAAAGUCAAAAUGGAGGAAUUAGAAGCUGAAAAUCAAACGGACAUUGAGGAUCAGAUUACAAGUUUGCAAGAAGAAUUAAACGUCUUAAAAGACUCGCUUCCAAACGAAAGUAAGAAUAGACAAGACAUAAAGGAUGCAAUCACAAGUAAAGAACAAAUAUUAAGUGAGUUGCUAAACAAGGUCCAUAGCACAUUAGUAAAAUCAAGACGUUCUGAAAGAGUCAAAGCACCAACUGAAAAAAUUGUAACUUAUCAGAAAGAAGUAAAAAGGAAAAAAGGCUAUUAACUCUAUAUGAGCAAUGGAAAGUGCAAGUGCGUGAAAUAAGAGAAAGGCUAAAGUUGGACAUUCCAGAAAAAGAAAUGGCAGAUCUUGCAAACGUACUAGAAGAAAGGAGAAAUGAUCAGUAAAGAGUGAACAGGUGAGCCCAGAGUGCACAUGCAGACAGAUUACGCCGACAUCUUCCCCCAGUGUCAUACAGCUUGCACAAGCUGUACAAGACAGUAUCAGAAUAAAUAGACUUCCCACAUCAGAACCAACAACGUUUGGUGGUCAACCGAUAAAGUUUAUUGAAUGGAAAUCCGUUUUCAUGUCACUUAUUGAACAAAAUGGCAUCUCAUCAGCAGAUAAACUAUACUAUCGUAAAAGGUAUGUGACCGGCCCCGCUCGAAAAUGCCUUGAAGGGACUUUCUUUAGAAAUGAUGAAGAGACAUAUAGAGACGCCUGGGAAAAACUGAACCAAAGGUACGGCCAGCUAUUCGUGAUGCAAAGGGCAUUUAGAGAAAAACUGUCCAAUUGGCCAAAAAUACAAUCUAAAGAUGCGGAUGGACUAAGGAACUUUGCAGACUUUGUAAAUGCAUGCAUGCUUGCGAUACCUCAUGUAAAGGGACUGAAAAUACUCAACGACUGCGAAGAAAAUCAGAAACUGUUGCGCAAACUACCAGACUGGAUGAAUGCGAGAUGGAACAGACUUGUGACAAAGACACAUGAACGGUGGUGAGUUUCCCAGCUUCAGUGAAUUUGCCUCCUUUCUCUCGUUAGAAGCAGAAGUUGCGUGCAACCCAGUCACCUCCAUUCAUGCACUUCAUUCAACUGAAACAAAGGAAAUCAAAAGGAACAAGGCAAGUGUGUUUAACACAAACACAACGGAACAAGGCGACAAACAGUCGAAGACUAAAACAUACAGCGGCUCUUCAUGUAUGUUGUUUCAAGAGACACAUCCACUCAUCAAGUGCCCAACCUUUCUGCAGAUGACCCUAGACAUCAGAAAGAAACAUGUAAAAGACAAUAGACUUUGUUAUGGCUGUUUAAAACAAGGGCAUAAUGCCAAGGACUGCAGACGCCGCCUCACUUGUGAAACUUGCUCGAAAAGACAUCCAACCUGUCUUCACAACGAAAACUAAAGUAGCGGCCUGCAAAGAAAUACACAAGGUCAUGUGAGUACAAACAAUGUAAUCCAAGGUUACUCACCUGAAACAGCAAUAGCCAUGUCACUGAAUGUUGCUAGAGCAGAGCACACAGUCAGUACCUCAAUGAUAGUUCCAGUGUGGGUGUCGACUGCUACUAACCCACAAAAAGAGAAACUAGUCUAUGCGUUACUGGACACUCAGAGUGACACAGUCUUUAUUGAUCAGGAUGUAACACGUGAACUGCAGGCAAAUGUGUGCCCAGUAAAACUCAAACUGACCACAAUGAUGGGAAAAAAUGCAGUCGUAAGCAGCGGAAAAGUGUGUGAUCUUCUUGUGAGAGGUUACAAUUCAGCAACAGUGAUAAGGCUCCCCACUGCUUACACAAAGGAUUAUAUACCUGCAACAGAGGACACAUACCAACACGUGAAACAGCCAAACUGUGGAGUCAUUUGUUACCCAUUGUAGAUGAGGUCCCUCCACUCCUCAAUUGUGAAGUAAGUCUUCUUAUCGGUUAUACUUGUUCCAGAGCGUUAGCACCCAAACAAGUACUCUUAGGCAAAGACAAUGAGCCAUAUGCUAUCCACACUGAUCUAGGAUGGAGCAUAGUUGGUAACUCAAUGCCUUGCAACGAAACAGACACAACAAGUAGUCUCUGUCACAGAGUAACUGUCAAGGAAAUACCUCCAUCCACUCCUACGGAUGCAAUACGUGCUCUAGAAAGGGAUUUCAAAGAGAAUGAAGAAAAUUAUAAAACUGUGUCUCAGGACAAUCUCAUGUUCCUCGAGAAACUAGAGCAAGGCAUGACACAAACUGAGCAUAGACAUUACAAAAUGCCUUUGCCCUUUAAAGAAAGGCCACAAUUGCCAGAUAACAGACAACUUUCUGAGAACCGACUCAAUCAGCUCAAAAGAAAACUCACGCGUGAUGAGAAAUACAAAAAAGACUACGUCACAUACAUGAAUGACAUCAUCGAAAGAGGUGAUGCAGAGGAGACUGAUGAUAAUGGAUCAGCGGGUGAGACAUGGCACAUACCGCACCACGGCAUCUAUCAUCCAAAGAAACCAGAGAGGCUGCGUGUGGUGUUCGAUUGCUCAGCUAAGCACAAAGGUACCUGUCUGAACGAACAUUUACUAAAUGGCCCUGACAUGAUUAACAACUUAACUGGUGUACUUUUACGCUUUCGGCAACAUCAAGUAGCUUUAUUGUGCGAUAUAGAAAAAAAAAAUCACCAGUUCAAAGUCAAUGCAAAUGAUCGCAACUACUUAUGGUAGAAAAACAGUGACGUGAGUAAACCACCACAAGCAUACAGAAUGACAGUACAUCUCUUUGGUGCCGUUUCGUCGCCUGGUUGUGCGAACUAUGGAUUUAAACACUUAGCCAAAGAAUACAGCUUUGAGUAUCCUUUAGGUUCACAGUUCGUCACCAGAGACUUCUAUGUCGACGGCGGAGUAACAAGUGUGGAGACAGUGAAAGAGGCUGUACAACUAGCAAAGGAAGCACGUGAACUAUGUGCAAAGGGUGGAUUGAGAUUACACAAGUUUGUGUCUAACAACAGUGUUGUUCUUAACAGCAUCCCAGCAUCAGACCAUGCAACAGACACCAAAACAAAGGACUUGACGUUUAGUGAGACACAAACAGAAAGAGCACUCGGCAUCUAUUGGAACAUACAAAAAGGAUUGUUUCCCCUUCAACAUCACAGCAAAAGACCAACCCCCAACCAGGCGCAGCAUAUUAUCCACAGUCGCAGCAAUAUACGACCCCUUGGGAUUCGUUGCGCCUUACAUUCUCAAUGGCAAAGGAAUCCUCCAAGAAAUGUGUUGUCAAGGAACGGACUGGGACGACCCGCUACCUGAACAUCUUAGGCCACGGUGGGAGAGCUGGAAAGGAGAUUUGAACAAUUUAAAAAGGUUGCAAAUAAAUAGAUAUUAUGUUCCUGCAACCUUUGGAGAUGUAAUGAAUAAGGAAUUGCAUCACUUUUUCGACGCAAGCACAGCAGGAUAUGGACAAUGUACUUACUUAAGACUGAUCAACAAAAACAAUGACGUGCACUGUAGCUUUGUUAUGGGCAAGGCACGUGUCUCUCCAACAAAGGUCACCACGAUUCCAAGGUUAGAACUGACCGCAGCUACAGUAUCGGUCACAGUAAGCAACAUGCUAAAAGAAGAGCUACUUUAUGACAACGUAGAGGAAUUCUUUUGGACUGAUUCAAAGGUCACUCUGGGGUACAUCAGUAAUGAAGCAAGACGCUUCCACACGUUUGUUGCUAAUAGAGUGCAAAAGAUCCGCAAUAAUACCACAACAAUGGUUUUACGUACCUACCAGUGAAAACCCUGCUGACAUGGCAUCAAGAGGUACAACAGUGAAUUAACUGUUGUCAUCCAAUUGGCUUACAGGCCCCCAGUUCUUGUGGGAAAAGGAGAUAAAUCUUCCUACAAAAGAGACUAUCAAACUUCCAAUAGGAGACCCAGAGGUGAGAAAAGUAUAGACACGAAACACGCAAACUACAGAACAUAAAAGUCUCAGUGACCGCCUCGCCAAGUUUUUAUCCUGGUCCCGCGCAGUCAGUGCGGUAGCACGUCUCAAAAGAUAUUUCCUCAAAGACAAGCAUAAGCAAAGGAAAGGCAUUAUCAAAAAACAACAAAAUGCACAACUUGGAUCUCUUCUUGGAUAAGGACAAUAUGCUUAAGGUGGGAGGAAGGCUGCAACACUCAUCGCUCCCAAACUUACUCAAACAUCCAACAGUUAUCCCAAGAGAACAUCAUAUUACAAGACUAAUAAUUUCACACCGUCAUGAAAAUGUCAAUCAUCAGGGAAAAGGCUUCACAAUGAAUGAAAUACGGUCCAGCGGCUAUUGGAUCCCCAAACUAAGUCAAACAGUAUCAUCCUACAUUCGCCAGUGUGUGUUCUGUCGGAGACUACGGAGACCAGUAGAAGGACAAAGGAUGAGUGCCCUCCCCACAGAAAGAGUUAAACAUUCUCCACCUUUCACAUACUGCGGCAUGGAUGUUUUCGGCCCAUUCCUGACCAAACAAGCAAGAAAAGAAAACAAAAGGUAUGGUCUCCUUUUCACGUGUUUCUAUUCACGAGCUGUACAUGUGGAAAUGUUAGAAGACCUAACUACGGACGCUUUCAUCAAUGGACUAAGAUGCUUCAUUGCUCUGAGAGGCUCUGUUAGACAAAUAAAAUGUAAUCAAGGUACCAACUUUGUAGGUGCUAAAAAUGAACUGAGUGCAUCACUAAGUGAAAUAGACACUGACAAAGUCACAAUCUUUCUUACUGAAAAACAGUGUGAUUUUGUACUUAACACAGCUCAUGCUAGUCACGCAGGUGGAGUAUGGGAACGGCAAAUACGGACUGUGAGAAACGUUCUCAAUGCCACACUUGAUCUCUCAAAGGGACGUCUUACUGAUUCAUCACUUAGAACCUUCCUAUAUGAAGCAGCUGCAAUAGUUAACAGCCGCCCAUUGACAACAGAUAAUCUUAACGAUCCAAACAGUUUAGAACCAUUAACUCCAAAUCACCUCGUCACCAUGAAAACCUCAACGGCUUUGCCGCCUCCAGGACAAUUUGUUAAAGAGGACUUUUAUGCACAGAAACGAUGGCGUCAAGUUCAAUAUUUAGCAGAACAGUUUUGGAGCAGAUGGAAGAAAGAAAAUCUUCAAAACAUUAUGGUUCGACAAAGAUGGCACAUGCCUAAAAGAAACAUGCAAAUAGGUGAAAUAGUAAUGGACAAAGAUGAAACUCAACCACGAUCCUAAUGGAGACUUGGAAGAGUCUUAGUCAUUGUAACAGAUGAAGAUGGUCUGGUGAGAAAAGUCAAAAUCGCCUUUGCAGACAGAAAUCUUAACAAAAAGGGUGAACGUUUGCAUAAAAUGUCUAUAGUAGAACGCCCAGUUCAUAAGUUGGUUGAAGGUUGUUAAAAGUAAAAGGUAUAAAAGUUGAAAUGUAAAAUUGUGAUGUUACGUUUGUGAAAUGUUGAUGUUGAUACAUGUUUACAAGUUUGUUAUGGUUCAGUAACAUUAAGAAAUUAUUUGUGUUUUAUUUUGUGUUUGUAAACAGCAAAUAAUUUCAUGGGAGUGUAAAGGUUAGAUUAGCGCAUAUGCAUGGUACAUGGCUCAUGUACAUGGUUUCUCUGCUUUUAUUGUGAUAACUUCCUGUUUUGAGCGGAAGUAACGGUAUAAGAAACUUUUUGCGUGGAGAAGAAAAGACGAAAGGUUAAGAAAGUUAUGGCUAAUGGUGGAAAGCAUAAAUUACUGUAAAAGGUUCACAAAUUCUUAAAUGUCUAGCUACAGUUGACAGGGGAACAAGGUUUGUGAUAUAAAUUAAUGUAUUUUGAGCAAUUUGAAAUGUGUAUGUAUGGAACAUAUGCUAAUACCGUUUUGUUAAUGUAAGAUAUAGCUAGAAAUACAGAGAAAAUGUACUAAAUGGUAAUUACGGUUUAUUUGUUCUUUUCUAGCUCUUACGUUGGUUGAAUGACACGGACGGAAGGAAUAAAAGUUCAUUUAACUAUCAGUUCUGGCCUUCUCAGUUCGAUUGGAAGCUACAAUGUGUAAUGCGAAAGGAUAACACAAAAAUGUGGACGACGACUUUGCAGCGCAGGACUACCGUCUCCAGCACCGACUGAGUGCGUCAGGCCAGUACAAGGAUGCCUACAUCGGCCGUGACU
Hypomesus transpacificus is the source of this 7345-nucleotide RNA transcript. It is a transcript of the gene named cytokine receptor-like factor 3, with no coding region annotated. The transcript has 2 exons. The record is from RefSeq and is a predicted model, not a curated record. Lineage: Eukaryota; Metazoa; Chordata; Actinopteri; Osmeriformes; Osmeridae.